CUCUAAUAUUAUUUUCGAUGUUCAAGUUUAUGGACUUGUUCCAAUAAAGUAUUAGAUAUUAAAGAGGUUUAUUCCUUCCAUAAAAGGUAAAAAUGUAUUAAUUUUAGUAUUAAUCUAGUAGAAAAUCGAAAGAAAUAUUAAAAU
This 144-nucleotide non-coding RNA is filed under the name unclassified sequences. Its description in RNAcentral is "RT-14 RNA". It matches the Rfam family "RT-14 RNA". From Rfam's summary of the family: Cloacimonetes, Firmicutes, Proteobacteria. The record is from Rfam by way of RNAcentral.